GGCAUUGAUACAGAAAAGCCAUUCGACAUGUUAUAACUGAGGAAAAACAUAGGUCAUUUUGUGAAUUCCAUUUUAUUUACAUUCUUCUUACAUGAUACUUUUUACAUAGCUUAUUAGUGGUACCUUGCCCAUGGUGUCUUAUUGAAGAAUCAGCUCAAUUGCCUUUUAACGAGCAUUCCGUGAUAAUGCCGCCUCAAAACCAGAAACGACAUGGAAUAGCGUGAUGUGAUAAUGAAAAUGGCAAGCGAGCUGCGAUUCAUUGGCAGCAAAUCAUCUGCGUUGCAGGGUGCCCCACCUCUCGAAUCGUACCGACGAACUCGUGCAAUAAAGAUCACCACCAACUGCGUGCAUCGACGCGCGCAACAAUCUUCAUUUACUAAUACGGAACGAAGGUGCCAAGACGAAGACCUCGAAGAACGUCAGCUGAAGCAAACAUCAAGAGAAGAUGAACAAGUGCACAUCAGCUGUUCACCGUGGCAGUAGUUCGAGGCGCAUAUGAGUAGUAUUAGCGGUAAAGGCCACUACGAAAUAGCUAUCCAGUCAGCCGGUGCGUCAAGCAGCCACAUUAAGAACAUUAAGAUGUAGUUGACCCAAUUGGCGCCGGUGCCGCUGAUCUGGCAUCGGUUUCCUGCUCCAGCAGCUGGUCUUCCCUCUUCAGCAGACGAGCCAUAUCAUCGACAGGAAGACACAUGACGGCACUAUGCUGCCCGCCAAAGCCGUCAGCGACUACUCAACUACACAUUAGUUUGUCAGUUAAGGCAAUGGCCAAGCAAUGUAUUAUACGCAUUGUAACCCCUUACUUCUAACGUAUACAUGCUGCUGAUACGGAACAAAGAGCACGCUUGCAGUCAUCUAAAUAGCCAUCAAAGAUUAUACAUCACAGUAGAAACUGCACCUACUUACAGCUCUUUUUUAACACGCGCAGAUGUAUCACCUGCUUCGAACUUGUUUUACGAACUUUCCAAUCUAAUUAGGAGAACUAUCUGCUCUUGUUGAUGGCAAACGCGUAGCUCGAAAUGGAGGCAAGGAACGGGCGACUCUGCAGCGAAACUGGUUGCCGAAUCAUUCGACGAGUGAGUGGCCAUCGGCACAAGAGGGUAAACAUGUGAAACGGUCGCGUUCAGCAAGCCGAUUCAACUGGUAACAGUCGAGGCGAUCCUCGCCAAUUCCAUAACCCAGUAAUAUACCAGCAGUCGCUUCCAAACCCAGGUACAACGGGAUUCGGCAAUAGUUCUAUUGGCGUCGGCUCGGAUACGAGAAGUAAAAGUCUUCGGUGGUCUUUUUGGGGUCACGAGGAAACUAUGUCGACGUUAGCGGCGCAGUCAAUAAACGCGACCAAAGCUGUUUCUUCUGUUUGUGCCGACGGCUCUGGCCCGGCAACGACGUUUGCGAACGGUCGAUCAAUACAUGUUUUGCGAAGACCGAGUCGGUUAAAGCAGAUGUGUGCUUCAAACGCGCGUUCGUCGAAAGCUAUCUCUUGAGGCGCUCGAAUAUUGACCGUACUACAUACUGACUUUCUCUGUGCUAACCGUUGGGACAGGGGUCGGCAGCAUCGAUGGAAACGCUUGGCGCUCUAUGCACGCCUUGAGUGAAGAAUGACUUUUUUACGGGCUACAACUACUACAAAGACCUACUGCGUGGCAAGUGGUGCGUUUUAUUACACAGAAUGCAAAAUCGGCUUUUCUUAUAUGGCGUAAAUCAUUAUUUUUAAAACUAAAUACAAUAGGACAUAGGAAAUCCGAUGAGCUAGAGCGAGCCAAACAGCAGCUUUCUACGAGAACCAUUUUGUGUAUUAUUUGAUAAUUUCCAAUUGAUUGGCGUGCUUGUAAAUUCUAAUUUGUAUAAUCUGAUUAUAAUGAAUUAUCCUCCACAUAUAUAUAUAUAUAUAUAUAUAUAUAUAUAUAUAUAAAACCUGCGCGCAUGUUUUUUACUGCCGGGAAUCCAUAACCUCUUAGACUAGUUAAGAGCGAAAAAAUGAGGGUGAGAAAAGUUCAGUUGCAACGCCAAUUUGCUGUAGGCAAAAUUGCCCCAGAAAUGUAAUCCAGCGUCGGUGACUCUAUUAAUAAAGACAUUCAAUAGAGGCGAUUUGGGAAUGAUUGUUCGUUUUGGAUGCCAUUGCAGGGAUAUGUACACACACCAGAAAGUCACAUAUUUAGUCUCGUUAACAUAAUAAAGGAACGUCAGCGGGCCUGACAAAGGCAGCUGCAGGGAACAAUAAAGGCUCCCAGCCAUUGAAACGUGACUACGAAAAAAUAAAUGUUUCUUUCAUCCUCAUGCC
Molecule: long non-coding RNA, 2278 nt
Filed under: Varroa destructor (honeybee mite)
Lineage: Eukaryota; Metazoa; Arthropoda; Arachnida; Mesostigmata; Varroidae
Description: uncharacterized LOC111247707
Source: RNAcentral